GCCCGCCUAGCUCAAUCGGAUAGAGCGUCAGACUUUUAAGCCCAAUUGAGUUGAAGAAUCUGAAGGCUGCGAGUUCGACCCUCGCGGUGGGCU
Non-coding RNA from Marasmius oreades (fairy-ring Marasmius), 93 nucleotides. The record is from the annotation of a RefSeq genome assembly. NCBI's taxonomy places the organism in Eukaryota, Fungi, Basidiomycota, Agaricomycetes, Agaricales, Marasmiaceae.